Molecule: ribosomal RNA, 265 nt
Filed under: uncultured bacterium
Lineage: Bacteria
Description: partial 16S ribosomal RNA
Rfam family: Bacterial small subunit ribosomal RNA
Source: RNAcentral
GUCCACGCCCUAAACGAUGUCGACUGGUUGUUGGGGGUUUGACACUCUCAGUAACGAAGCUAACGCGUGAAGUCGACCGCCUGGGGGAGUACGGCCGCAAGGUUAAAACUCAAAGGAAUUGACGGGGACCCGCACAAGCGGUGGAUUAUGUGGAUUAAUUCGAUGCAACGCGAAAACCUUACCUACCCUUGACAUGUCCGAGAGCCUGAAGAGAUUCAGGUGUGCCCGAAAGGGAAUCGGAACACAGGUGCUGCAUGGCUGUCGU